CCCUCUUUCCAUCCAAAUUAUUACUGAGGUAUCUUUGCUUUGUCAGUGAUUGGAUUUCUGUGGGCCACUUUGCGGCUUGUCACCCAUCCACCAUCGUUUCUGUCCUCCGAGUCGAGCAGAAACCUCAUCGUGACUCUUAAAGAACAGAGAGAGGAUUAGGCCUGACUGAAGGGGAUAGGCCUCCUUCAGGAAAGCAAGGAUGGUUGCAUCAAAAUGUCAUUAAUAGAAGCUUCCACUAGCCAUCAUGCAGGGCACUGUGCUCAGUAGUUUGCACACAUCAUGUGGCAUUCCUUUUACAGCCCUUUCCGGGAGCCUCUGAGAAGCAAAUACAUACACUGUUCUCCUCUAAAAGGUUUGUAUAUCCUUCCACUUGUAGUAGUGUCUCCAUUUUUCUGAACUUUAGUU
Molecule: long non-coding RNA, 405 nt
Filed under: Fukomys damarensis (Damara mole-rat)
Lineage: Eukaryota; Metazoa; Chordata; Mammalia; Rodentia; Bathyergidae
Description: lncRNA (ENSFDAG00000025734.1)
Source: RNAcentral